GACGAACGCUGGCGGCGUGCCUAAUACAUGCAAGUCGAACGCAGUGGGGACGGGUGAGUAACACGUGGGUAACCUCCCAUCAGAGGGGAUAACACUUGGAAGCAGGUGCUAAACCGCUACUGAUGGAUGGACCCGCGGUGCAUUAGUUAGUUGGUGAGGUAACGGCUCACCAAGGCCACGAUGCAUUGCGGACCGAAUAGGGUGAGCGGCCACUCUGGGACUAAGACACGGCCCAGAAUCCAACGGUGGGCAGAAGUAGGAAAUCUUCGGCAAGGGACGAAAGUCUGACCGGGCAACGCCGCGUGAGUGAAGAGGGUUUUCGGAUCGUAAAACUCUGUUGUUAGAGAAGCGGUAUCUAACCAGAAAGCCACGGCUAACUACGUGCCAGCAGCCGCGGUAAUUC
RNAcentral lists this ribosomal RNA (403 nucleotides) under uncultured bacterium. RNAcentral describes it as "partial 16S ribosomal RNA". It matches the Rfam family "Bacterial small subunit ribosomal RNA", at positions 28 to 526 of the family's 1533-position model. The record is from RNAcentral.